Molecule: ribosomal RNA, 415 nt
Filed under: uncultured archaeon
Lineage: Archaea
Description: bacterial SSU rRNA
Rfam family: Bacterial small subunit ribosomal RNA
Source: RNAcentral
CAGCCGCCGCGGUAAUACGGAGGGUGCAAGCGUUAUCCGGAUUCACUGGGUUUAAAGGGUGCGUAGGCGGGCAGGUAAGUCAGUGGUGAAAUCCUGGAGCUCAACUCCAGAACUGCCAUUGAUACUAUCUGUCUUGAAUAUUGUGGAGGUAAGCGGAAUAUGUCAUGUAACGGUGAAAUGCUUAGAUAUGACAUAGAACACCCAUUGCGAAGGCAGCUUACUACGCAUAUAUUGACGCUGAGGCACGAAAGCGUGGGGAUCAAACAGGAUUAGAUACCCUGGUAGUCCACGCCCUAAACGAUGGAUACUCGACAUACGCGAUACACUGUGUGUGUCUGAGCGAAAGCAUUAAGUAUCCCACCUGGGAAGUACGUUCGCAAGAAUGAAACUCAAAGGAAUUGGCGGGGGAGCACAG